RNAcentral lists this ribosomal RNA (930 nucleotides) under uncultured Coprothermobacter sp. RNAcentral's name for it is "bacterial SSU rRNA". It matches the Rfam family "Bacterial small subunit ribosomal RNA", at positions 570 to 1507 of the family's 1533-position model. The record is from RNAcentral. Lineage: Bacteria; Pseudomonadati; Coprothermobacterota; Coprothermobacteria; Coprothermobacterales; Coprothermobacteraceae.
CGGUAGCCGUCUGUUAGUUAGGUGUGAAAAGCACGCUCACUGGGAGUGCGCUUAUACUGCAGCUGAGUGCGGGAGAGGGAAGUGGAAUUCCCGGUGUAGCGUGAAAUGCGUAGAUAUCGGGAGGAACACCAGUGGCGAGGCGGCUUCCUGGACCGCAACUGACGCUGAGGCGCGAAAGCUGGGGGAGCAAACAGGAUAGAUACCCUGGUAGUCCCAGCCGUAAACGAUGGAUGCUAGGUGUGGGAGGUAUCGACCCCUUCCGUGCCGGAGCGAACGCAAUAAGCAUCCCGCCUGGGGAGUACGGCCGCAAGGCUGAAACUCAAAGGAAUUGACGGGGGCCCGCACAAGCGGUGGAGCAUGUGGUUUAAUUCGAAGCAACGCGAAGAACCUUACCAGGGCUUGACAUGUGCGGAACGGGGUAGAGAUACCCUGGUGCCCGAUGAGGGAGCCGCAAGACAGGUGGUGCAUGGCUGUCGUCAGCUCGUGUCGUGAGGUGUCGGCUUAAGUGCCGUAACGAGCGCAACCCUCAUCCCUAAUUGCUCCUGACAGGUAAAAGGGUCAGAGCACAAUAGGGAGACCGCUGGCGAAGAGCCAGAGGAAGGGGAGGAUGACGUCAAGUCAGCAUGGCCUUUAUGCCCUGGGCUACACACAUGCUACAAUGCAGGGUACAACGGGAAGCGAAGCCGCGAGGUGGAGCAAAUCCCCAAAAGCCCUGCUCAGUUCGGAUCGCACGCUGCAAUUCGCGUGCGUGAAGUCGGAGUCGCUAGUAACCGUGGAUCAGCAAAGCCGCGGUGAAUACGUUCUCGGGCCUUGCACACACCGCCCGUCAAGCCACCCGAGUCGGGUUCACCAGAAGGCCGGUAACCGAAGAGGGCCGGACGACGGUGUGCCUGGUAAGGAGGGCUAAGUCGUAACAAGGUAACCGUAAAU